This 253-nucleotide ribosomal RNA is filed under the name uncultured bacterium. Its description in RNAcentral is "partial 16S ribosomal RNA". It matches the Rfam family "Bacterial small subunit ribosomal RNA", at positions 524 to 776 of the family's 1533-position model. The record is from RNAcentral.
UACGUAGGGUGCAAGCGUUAAUCGGAAUUACUGGGCGUAGAGCGUGCGCAGGCGGUUAUGCAAGACAGAUGUGAAAUCCCCGGGCUCAACCUGGGAACUGCAUUUGUGACUGUAUAGCUAGAGUACGGUAGAGGGGGAUGGAAUUCCGCGUGUAGCAGUGAAAUGCGUAGAUAUGCGGAGGAACACCGAUGGCGAAGGCAAUCCCCUGGACCUGUACUGACGCUCAUGCACGAAAGCGUGGGGAGCAAACAGG